AGAUGGGGGGGGAGGUGUACAUAACAUAAAGAUCCCAUGGUCCUUGGGCCCACCAGCAAGGCCAGUCACCUCUGGGUACAUGCAGGCCACAGCAGAGCCCCUUGGAGUCUGACGUCCUGCUCUGUGACCCCCGCAAGGAGACAGCAGGAUCAGCAGCAUUUGCCGCUUGCCGGGCAUUACCUGGGCAUCGACCUCUGAGGCCAGCUGCAGAGUGCACUGCUGUCCCUUGCGGAGGAGGGCUCACAGCCCUGCUAGAGGAGGUGGGUGUGAAGGACCCGAAGAGGACGAGCAGCAAUGCUGGGAGCUUUGGGCCAGAGCAGCCCCAGACAGCUGACCCAGAUCCGUCUUUACCUAACAUUAGACCUCUGUCCAGUUUUGGCUGUUGUCCAAACAGGGUCCAAGCUAACUUCGGAGCAACUGCUUGAACACUGCUGAUGGCGGCGUGGUAUUAAAAAUAUUUAACCUCUGAGAUGGCACAGGCAUCGACCAAUCAGAACAGAGGCCAGCUAGCCACAAAUAACACAUGCCAGCUCAUACCAGAGAGAGAGAGAGAGAGAGAGAGCACAAGCAAGGGGAGCAGCAGGCAGAGGAAGAGGGAGAAGAAGGCUCCCCACCUAGCAGGGAACCUGAUGCAGGACAAGAUCUCAGGACCCUGGGAUCAUAACCCAAGCCAAAGGCAGACGCUUAACCGACUGAGCUACCCAGACACCCCAUGGCAUCAUUUUUUGAACCUCGAAAAUAAUAUGUACUAUUUGAACAUGAUGAGAUUGGUUGUUUGGUGGUUUAUUUGCCUUUUGGAUGGACAUCUGGAGCCUUAUCUGGAUGCCAAAUAAGUGGCCGGCUGGGCCUCUCCCUGGUUCGAAUAAGCCUCCUGGGGCAAGAGAAAGGGAGGGGAGAACAUGAAUUUAUGUAAGGAAAGACCCACCCAAUGAAGUUUAAAGAUCACCAUCAUGCAGUUUCCAAGUCAAGCCAGGAGAGGGCUCAGAAAACUUCUGCCUGAUUGUCUAAUAAGAGGAACUUCAGGAAAUGGACAGAGCACUCCACUCUUCCAUCAGAUGACAGGCACAGUCAUUUAGUCGGCCUGAUUUCAAUCAGACCACAACAAUUUUUUUUUUUUAAUUUAGAGAGAGCACAAGCGUAGGGGAGGGGCAGAGGCAGAGGGAGAGAGAACCUCCAGCAGACUCUGCAGUGAGCACACAGCUGGUCUCGGGGCUGGAUCUCACAAUCUCAAGACCAUGAUCUGAGCUGAAAUCAAGAGUUGGACGCUCAACCAAUUGAGCCACCUACACGUCCAAAGCCACAAUUUUAUUAUACAGUAGGCUAGCUUCAUGUGAUCUUUGCACCAUUUAAUUCUUUCUUGAAGAAAAUGAUGAGACUUCUUCAAGCCCGAGCCAGUUUUGCCCUGUGUUUCUUUUAGAUGGCAGUCCUCUUUGCCUCCCUCAGGAAGUCAGGUGCUUCUGAGUAGCUCUCCUUCGCCUGCAGAGCAGAGGCUGGAGGAGCUAACCUCCCCUGACUUCCUGGUGAUGACGCAGAGCUAAAAGCACAUGGUCAACCCGGUCCUUGGUGGGAACGGCAUUAGAUAAAUGCGGGGUCCAAUUAUUAACUGUAAACUAUAUACUCUGGGUAAUAGAUCUGACUCAUUAUGAGUGAGACUGAAUACUCAGUAAUUGAGGACCGAAGCAACUAGCCAAAAACCAAGGUUCCAGACUGACACAAAGCUCAGGGACAUGUGGGGAAAUGCUGUUUAGACAAAGCCAUCUGCAAGCCAACUCACCCUAGGCAAUUCAAACCAAGAGAACAUCGUUAUACAUGCUUGGAGGGUAAGGACCAAUGCUUGAAGUACAGAGAAAGUUCUCAUACAAUAAAGCAGGUAUGAUACAAUGUUUCCUGCAGUAUCAUGAAGUCAAUGGGAUGAUGAAGUAUUUGUUCUGUUUCAUUAUGACUUACUUUUCCAUCCCAAUUUUUUCCUAUAUUCAACACUUGAUGUAUUUUACUUCAUUUGUCUUUUCAAUUAUCCUUUAAAUAAAACAUUUAUAUUUGAUAAGGAAACUGGAGUGUUAAGCCAGUAAUGUCAAUGUAUAUUGCAAGGCCACUUCCUCCCCAGGAUCCAGGAUGAGAGAUGGUCUUACCUGUUAAAGGUUUCAGUCAGAGUGGUAGGAAGAGAGUGAGUCUCAUCAUUUAUUGGACAGUAAAGAGAAUUUUUUAAAAAUCCUCCCAAAUUGACAUCCUUCCUAUAGCUGCUAUCAAAAUGGUUUCAGACUUCCACUCUUGACACUUAUGAUCCACAUUUCAAAUAUUCACUUCAUUACUCGAACAUGGUUUCUGGAAAGAUAGCUAGCAGCUAUAUAAUUUGUCUUCGCUCAGAGUUCAAAGACCAGAAUGAGAACAGAAUUCAGACCUUCUGAUUUCUAAUUGAAUAUCCUGUUCACUGCCUUGUGGAUGGGUCAAAUCGACCUUUUUUCUCUUGGAGUCACCCUUGACUUGAUUUUCUCUUUUAAAUUUUGAUCUUCUUUUUAAAAUCUUUAGUUUUUUUCUGAUUACAAAAGUGAUACAUGUGUAUUGUACAAAGUGACAGUCCAUCUUUGUAUAACCCCACCUAAUCAAGGUUGUAUUUCAAUGCAUAGAAGGCUUUUGAAAAAAAUCAAAACUCAGUUUAGCUUAUAUAAAGUGGUUGGCAACUUUCUUUUUCACCUUAAAAUGCCUUGGAAAUAGACAAACCAUAGGAAACUCUUAAUCUCACAAACUGAGGGUUGCGGUGGGGGGCAGGGGAGGUUAUGGACAUU
This 2783-nucleotide long non-coding RNA is filed under the name Mustela putorius furo (domestic ferret). RNAcentral's name for it is "lncRNA (ENSMPUG00000027790.1)". The record is from RNAcentral. Lineage: Eukaryota; Metazoa; Chordata; Mammalia; Carnivora; Mustelidae.